CAGUAGCCGCGGUAAUACGUAGGGCGCAAGCGUUAUCCGGAAUUAUUGGGCGUAAAGAGCUCGUAGGCGGUUUGUCGCGUCUGCCGUGAAAGUCCGGGGCUCAACCCCGGAUCUGCGGUGGGUACGGGCAGACUAGAGUGAUGUAGGGGAGACUGGAAUUCCUGGUGUAGCGGUUAAAUGCGCAGAUAUCAGGAGGAACACCGAUGGCGAAGGCAGGUCUCUGGGCAUUAACUGACGCUGAGGAGCGAAAGCAUGGGGAGCGAACAGGAUUAGAUACCCGCGUAGUCCCUGUCUCUUAUAC
RNAcentral lists this ribosomal RNA (301 nucleotides) under uncultured bacterium. Its description in RNAcentral is "partial 16S ribosomal RNA". It matches the Rfam family "Bacterial small subunit ribosomal RNA", at positions 509 to 807 of the family's 1533-position model. The record is from RNAcentral.